Long non-coding RNA from Protopterus annectens (West African lungfish), 800 nucleotides. RefSeq lists it as uncharacterized. The transcript is spliced from 3 exons. The record is from RefSeq and is a predicted model, not a curated record. Lineage: Eukaryota; Metazoa; Chordata; Ceratodontiformes; Protopteridae.
GUGAGGUGGAACUUGGAAGUAAAGUUUGUGUGAAUUUUAAAGAUGGCGUAACAAACAGUUUAGUAGGAUAAUAUACAGGUUCCUUAUAGUUACAAAAGCAUAUAGGUCCACAGCAUUUAUCCUUACAACAGCAGCGGUGGAUCGACCAGCCACAUCGAACAGUUUCCUCAAAACCAGAACCGCAAAACUUUUGAAAUGUUGAAUUUUGACAUUUCCAGCCGUGCCACACCUCCACACCAGUGCUACCAUGGGUCAAAAAGGGGGUGAGAUUUUGCCGUUCGGAAAUGUGGUGUUCAUCAUUUUGGACAGUCGCACUUUGUUGUUCACGGAAGCGAGGUCGACCAUGAUGUAAUCUGUGUUACGAAGGACAGACAAGUGAUAUGCAUCCACUGACACAGGAGGACAACUGCAACAAUGUGUGCUUCACACUGAAGUUACUCCGUACUUAGUAACAAGCUGAAGUAAUUGUGCAUACAAUUCUGUCCUCUAACUGUAAACAUUUUUGAAAUACUGCAUCAAUAACAUUCAACUGACAUUCUAUGUGAGAAGCUGUUUAUAUUUUGAGGUGUUUAAUACAAAAUACCAUGACACAGUGGUUGCCAUAGGUGCUUCUGUUUUAUACCCAUCAAUAGACGUCUGUACCCGAUUACUUUAGAAACCAUUACUGUGUACAUUUUGCAGUAAUCUUUCAUUGUGUUCUGUUCUCCAGUUGUGAACUAUCGCCUAUAACUGAUGGUAGGUUUUUCUACAUGAUCGUGUACAGACUCAGUAUGUUUAACUGCCGCUCAUAUACAUAAAGG